Molecule: unclassified non-coding RNA, 345 nt
Filed under: soil metagenome
Description: partial contains 5.8S ribosomal RNA, internal transcribed spacer 2, and large subunit ribosomal RNA
Rfam family: 5.8S ribosomal RNA (bases 1-119)
Source: RNAcentral
GAUGAAGAACGUAGCGAAAUGCGAUACGUAAUGUGAAUUGCAAAUUCAGUGAAUCAUCGAGUCUUUGAACGCACAUUGCGCCCCCUGGUAUUCCGGGGGGCAUGCCUGUCCGAGCGUCAUUGCUGCCCUCAAGCACGGCUUGUGUGUUGGGCCCCGUCCUCCGAUCCCGGGGGACGGGCCCGAAAGGCAGCGGCGGCACCGCGUCCGGUCCUCGAGCGUAUGGGGCUUUGUCACCCGCUCUGUAGGCCCGGCCGGCGCUUGCCGAUCAACCCAAAUUUUUUAUCCAGGCUGACCUCGGAUCAGGUAGGGAUACCCGCUGAACUUAAGCAUAUCAAUAGCGGAGGA